This 538-nucleotide long non-coding RNA is filed under the name Gorilla gorilla gorilla (western lowland gorilla). RNAcentral's name for it is "lncRNA (ENSGGOG00000044408.1)". Lineage: Eukaryota; Metazoa; Chordata; Mammalia; Primates; Hominidae. The record is from RNAcentral.
CGCCAGUCACUAGUGGAAUGUAUCCCUGCCCCUCCUGGCUGCCUUUCUCCACCACCUUCCCCUGAGUUCUAUCCAGGACCUCCCAAGAUGGACAGGGCCAUGGGGUAUGUGAAGCCCCCACCACCGCCCUAUCCUGGGCCCAUGGAACCUCCGGUCAGCCCAGAUGUUCCCUGCACUCCUGCAGCCGAAGCCAGGGCCACAAAAGCAGCUGCCAGCACCUAUUAUAACCCAGGGACUCUCUGGCCACCGCAUCCACUGCAGUCCAGCUCUCUUGGUCUGGCAGCCACUCUACACUCAGCCUCAUGAGCCGCCUCAGACCAGCCAGGCUACUUGAUACUUUUGAAGUAAUUCAAUAUGACUCUUUCAAGAGCAAGAAAAUGUAUCAGAUGGCUUUUUGAGGCCAUUUAGGGAUGGAGGCAAGCCAUGAGUUCAAGAUUCAAGGGAAUAUGAAGAGGCAAACAAAUAACACUUUAUUCCCCGCUGGAUUUACUAAACAGUGCGAGAAAUAAAAUAAAAAGUAUGACAGACAAGAGACCAC